GGAGGGGGACAUGGGAGAGAGCUGGAACAGUGGGUCUAAGGCACAAAGCACAGCCCUGUGAGAGGUUCUGUGAGUAAGGACUGCCUGGCAAGAGCGUAGGAGAUUCAAGCGUCCGGUCCAUGGGGGUGGGGGCUAGAUGAGUUCCAAGAUCCUUGUCUCCCACCCUUCUUGAGAAAUACAGUGAGAGCCCAGGGCAGGCUCCAGUUGAGCCUAAGAGCAAGCAGGGGCACAGGUAUGGCUGAGACGGGCCACUUAAGCACCCACAGCAAAGAGCCAGCUCUCUGCUCAACCCCCCACAGGCCCACCAGAGAAAGAUUUUAGCUUGGUCCCUUCUGCCACAGGAGAGAUGUGAAAUUAACCUUCUGGACACUUUCUUUCAAUAGCCCAGGCCACAUGCCAGCCCUCAAGCUGUCUGUUGGAGCUAAAGAUAAUAUCAAAGGGUAUUUUUUUUCUGCUUCCAAACCAGUUCUGGUCAGAUCUGAUCCAAAGACACAGGGGACAGAAACGCAGCAGGCAGUGGCUGCAGCCCGGGUGGAAAUCUGGAGUGUGCAGCCUGGGCUUGGUAGCCAGGACCUGAAAUUGACCGGCAUUCGUCGGACCUGGGGUCUGACUUUAGCAUACUGACAAUCCACUCCCCACUUCCCAAACUACAGUUCCACCUGCCUCCAAAUAAGGAUGCUCUUCUUAAUUUAAUCACAGAGACUGAGGAAAGGCUUGGAACACCUGCCCCUGUCCCACCCUGCCCUACCCCUCCAGACCCCUCUGCACUGCUAGGAGCCUUCCACAGAAGCCGGUACACGCAGACACACAGAGAGCCAUGCAUACAAUCUGCCGUCAGCCAUCGUCAGUUCCAGCAGACCCCUCACCGAAAAGUCCCCAGAUCCGAAUGGGAUGAGGGGCCAGCUCGGCCUGCUCUGAUUUCCAGUCUGUGCAAGGAAU
Molecule: long non-coding RNA, 939 nt
Organism: Chinchilla lanigera (long-tailed chinchilla)
Lineage: Eukaryota; Metazoa; Chordata; Mammalia; Rodentia; Chinchillidae
Exons: 3
Source: RefSeq, a predicted model, not a curated record